RNAcentral lists this ribosomal RNA (1243 nucleotides) under metagenome. Its description in RNAcentral is "bacterial LSU rRNA". It matches the Rfam family "Bacterial large subunit ribosomal RNA", at positions 1564 to 2817 of the family's 2925-position model. The record is from RNAcentral.
UGAUGACGAGACGCUAAGGCGUUGAAGCAGUGUAUGUCAGACUUCCAAGAAAAGCUCGCAAUGUCAUAAAUAAAAAUGCCUGUACCAUAACCGACACAGGUGGGUAGGUAGAGUAUACUAAGGGGCGCGAGAUAACUCUCUCUAAGGAACUCGGCAAAAUGACUCCGUAACUUCGGGAGAAGGAGUGCCUUAUUUAUAAGGUUGCAAUAACAAGAUCCAAGCAACUGUUUAUCAAAAACACAGGUCUCCGCUAAGUCGUAAGACGAUGUAUGGGGGCUGACGCCUGCCCAGUGCCAGAAGGUUAAAGAAGUUGGUUAGUGUAUGCGAAGCUGAUGACUGAAGCCCUGGUGAACGGCGGCCGUAACUAUAACGGUCCUAAGGUAGCGAAAUUCCUUGUCGGGUAAGUUCCGACCCGCACGAAAGGCGUAAUGAUUUGGAUACUGUCUCGGAGAGAGGCUCGGUGAAAUAGACUUGUCUGUGAAGAUGCGGACUACCUGCACCAGGACAAAAGGACCCUAUGAAGCUUUACUGUAACUUGAAAUUGGAAUUGGACUUUGCUUGCGCAGUAUAGGUGGGAAGCGUUGAAGAUAUUCUUGCGGGAGUAUUGGAGCUAUCAGUGAGAUACCACUCUUGUAAUGUUAGAUUUCUAACUUUGAACCAUAAUCUGGUCAAAGAACAGUUUCAGGUGGGCAGUUUGACUGGGGCGGUCGCCUCCCAAAUGGUAACGGAGGCGUACAAAGGUUUCCUCUGAACGGAUAGAAAUCGUAUCUAGAGUGUAAAGGCAUAAGGAAGCUUGACUGUGAGACCUACAAGUCGAGCAGGGACGAAAGUCGGUCUUAGUGAUCUGACGGUACUGAGUGGAAAGGCCGUCACUCAACGGAUAAAAGUUACUCUAAGGAUAACAGGCUGAUCUCCCCCAAGAGUUCACAUCGACGGGGAGGUUUGGCACCUCGAUGUCGGCUCAUCGCAUCCUGGGGCGGUAGUACGUCCCAAGGGUUGGGCUGUUCGCCCAUGAAAGCGGUACGCGAGCUGGGUUCAGAACGUCGUGAGACAGUUCGGUCCAUAUCCGGUGUAGGCGCUAGAAUAUUGAGAGGAGCCUUCUUUAGUACGAGAGGACCGAGAAGGACACACCGCUGGUGUACCAGUUAUCGUGCCAACGGUAAACGCUGGGUAGCUAUGUGUGGAGUGGAUAACCGCUGAAAGCAUCUAAGUGGGAAGCCCACCUCAAGAUGAGUAUUCUCAC